Molecule: ribosomal RNA, 250 nt
Filed under: uncultured bacterium
Lineage: Bacteria
Description: partial 16S ribosomal RNA
Rfam family: Bacterial small subunit ribosomal RNA
Source: RNAcentral
ACGUAGGUGGCAAGCGUUGUCCGGAUUUACUGGGUGUAAAGGGCGUGUAGCCGGGAAGGUAAGUCAGAUGUGAAAUCUGGAGGCUCAACCUCCAAACUGCAUUUGAAACUGCUUUUCUUGAGUAUCGGAGAGGUAAUCGGAAUUCCUUGUGUAGCGGUGAAAUGCUUAGAUAUCACGAAGAACUCCGAUUGCGAAGGCGGCUCUCUGGUCUGUAACUGACGCUGAGGCUCGAAAGCGUGGGGAGCAAACA